Molecule: unclassified non-coding RNA, 344 nt
Filed under: soil metagenome
Description: partial contains 5.8S ribosomal RNA, internal transcribed spacer 2, and large subunit ribosomal RNA
Rfam family: 5.8S ribosomal RNA (bases 1-119)
Source: RNAcentral
GAUGAAGAACGUAGCGAAAUGCGAUACGUAAUGUGAAUUGCAAAUUCAGUGAAUCAUCGAGUCUUUGAACGCACAUUGCGCCCCCUGGUAUUCCGGGGGGCAUGCCUGUCCGAGCGUCAUUACUGCCCUCAAGCCCGGCUUGUGUGUUGGGCCCCGUCCUCCGAUCCCGGGGGACGGGCCCGAAAGGCAGCGGCGGCACCGCGUCCGGUCCUCGAGCGUAUGGGGCUUUGUCACCCGCUCUGUAGGCCCGGCCGGCGCUUGCCGAUCAACCCCAAUUUUUUAUAGGUUGACCUCGGAUCAGGUAGGGAUACCCGCUGAACUUAAGCAUAUCAAUAAGCGGAGGA